CCUUGCACAAACUUAGCCAACCUGAGCAAUCUUCUUCCAGAUGGGUGCUUCAUUAUUUAAGUGAUACUGCACUGUUAAGCUCCUUCAGAAAUGGCCAUGCCAAGCACGUCUGGUCCUCAGAUCCUUAUCUCCUGACAAAGGAUUCUGAACCUCAUAUAGAACUGCAGAUGGAAAUGGACCAUGAGGGCCCAUUUCUCUCUACCACAUCAGAAGUGCUUGCUGCUUCCCUUCUGGAGUCACAGUUGUAUGUGCGGAGUUGCUUUUAAACACAGAUGCCGGAUGCUUUGGAAGUGAUGGAUUGAGGUGCACACAUAAUGACCUGCUCCAGUCAGAAACUGAGAGCCUCAGAAGGAUUUGCCAACCAGAUCUACAGAAUGAGAUUGCAAAUGCAGCUUCAGAAAUGAAUGAAAACAUCAAAAUCCACAGAUUGUUAAGUAUAUUCAAGACUGAGAGAGGAUAAAAGAACAAAAAAAAUGGACCUGGAGCCUGGUAGGCUUUGGAUGAAGCUUUACAAGAGUUGCAAAGGAUGCUGUUGCGAUGGGGACCCAUCUGGACAUGUGAAACACAGACUUGACUUGCACAGCUGAAAAUGCAUUAUUUAGAGGUGGGAAUGCUCUGUGUGGCCCAAGCAUUAUUAAUGGCCCUUUGUUUCAUAGCUUCAUAGUAUUUAAACUGUAUUGUUCCAAUUACUGAAGACAUUUUGUUUUCUGAGAUAUAUCUCUCUCCCCAAAAGUAAAACAUUGUAUUUCCAUUCAGCAUUUUUUUCUAAGUUGCACUUGACUAGUAAUAGGUUUCCUUGGAAAGCCAUCAGUGAAUUUAUGUCACAAACAGGUCUGUCUCUCUAUUGAUUCAGACAUACAAAAUCUAAGCAUCUAUAUGUUGCGGUUGUUCUGUUUGUUGCACUGCUGCGGACUGAUAGCAUUUCACCAGAAAAGGUCUUGUGUCUGCAGCUAUCCUAUUUUCUCUCGUGUCACUCAAGUGAGCUGCCUUGCAGCUCGCCCACGCUGAGGUCGGAGCAGAGCCGCAGGAGCUCACAGAACCUGCUGGGGGCUGUCGUGCCAGGCACCCGCUCAGCCACUGGGUCCUGUGGGUGAGGAUGCGAGCAGAGUUCCCAGCACUGCUGGGAGCCAAACAAGCUUUUGCCUGAGUGAGCUCUGGGGGAUGGGGCACUUGUUCACAGGCAUGAACUCCUUCAAUACUGGAUGUAUUCAGAAGAUGGAAAUUAGCAAUAUUACAAAUUCAGAAAGCAGCAGACGAGCAUGUAACAUACUGAAUAUGAGCUCACCUCUCUUUUUGACUAGCUGCUCCCAACUCAGCAAGCCCUCUGACCAGUGCCACUGUAGCCUUUGACCUUAUUCAUUAGAGAUAUUUUGAUGUACUGUGAGCAGUAUGAACAGUGUUAUAUGCUCGUUUAUGGGUUAACCCUGUCCUUAUUAGAUUUGCACUUUCCAGCCUGAAUUCAUGAAAGUUUGGUUGGCAUGUAGGAUUUUGCCCUCCCUUUCUGCUCUCUCAGCCACUAAAGUAAUCUGAAGUCAUCCUUUUCAACUGAAAUUUUUUAAGCAUUAUCUUUAUCUCUAGUUGCCAGUGUCUUUAAGAGCUUAACCUCAUACCUCUCACAGCUACCUCUUGCUUCUGGAGAGCAAGAAGACUUCACUUCCUGCACCUGUUGCCAGCAUCACUGUGGUUUCCCAGAACUGAAGAACCAGUGUGCGCUGAGCAAUACUGAUGCUAUACGGGGUUACCAACAGGUAUGAAGAUGUGAUUAGUCAAUGUUACAAAGAUUUUGGAGGGCAAAAUUGAGGAGGGAAGAGUAUUUAUUUUCUUUAGCCUUCAUCUUCUGCUUUCCCUUGACAUCUGCUCCACACAAUUUGCAGGCAGUCACAGUGUGCACUUCUUUCUCCUGCAGAGGCUCUGCUUCCUUUGGAAAAGGCUUCCACAAGGAUACCAGAAGCAUUAAAAUCUCACUUGAUCCACUUGUUUUUUUACCAGCCUUACUUGAUUGCCCUACAAAAACAGAUAAGAAUAUUUUCCUUGCUCUCUAGAGUAAAGUCCUCCAUUAUCAUGUCACGAAAGGAAACAGACUGUUUGGUAGCUGAGGAAAAAUGCUGACUUUAAACCUGGGAUAAGGUUCUAUCAUUUACACUAAUGAGCUCACUGGUGGGGAAUUUGUAAAAUUUUAUGAUAAAAAGUAGCUGUAGUCAGUAUCUGAUGGAAUUUUCUAUUUCUUUUUUUUUUUUUUUUGCUGAAAAUACAUGUAACUAUUAAUAAUUUUCCUAUCCAAAUCCAGAGAGGAAAAAAGGCAGUAAGAAUUGUCCCAGACAAAGUUCAAAGAAUUGGUAAGUAACCCAUUAUUUUAGAGAGUUAUCCUGCUGGGAAGGCUGCAAACACAUUUGACUAGUUGAAUAAUGAGUUAGUUACUCAGAAGGAGGAGACCUUAACAAAAUAUUAAUAUUAGGAUUUUAAUUGCUGGUGACUUGUGGUUAAAAGUCUCCAGAUCUGAUAGUCACAUCAUGCCAGAUUUUUAUUUUUGAUGGAAAUGUACUCUGAGACUGUAUGUCCAGUAAGUGCUAUGAAAACAGGGAGGUAUCUAAUAGCCUUCGCUGGUAUAUUCUGCCAGAGCACUGACAAAUACUGAUGAAAUCUACUGUAGCUUACAAAGACCUAGACUGUUCUGUUCAGAACCAGAAUGGACAAAUACAGCUGGAGAGAUCAACGUUGCUAUGAAACUGGUGUAAGUGGAUGCAAUCAAAUAGGGUGACAGUAAGCAGAGGAAAAAGAGAUAUCUUCAGUUGAAGGGACAGGAAACUCUCACAGUGUGGUUCUCAUUGUGAGACGUGAAUGAAAUUCCAGCAAUUUUUCUCUCCCCCUGUUUGUUUUUUUUUUUUCCAGCCUACUUCCCAAGUUUGUGAUAUUUAGACUUCGUAGUGCUCCUGGUGCAAUGCCUGGAAAAGCUGGCCAGAGCUGCAGUACAGUGCAGGGACUUCCUUGCAUGACCACUUGCCCCUUUGUGCAGGCAAGAAAUAAGUCUUUACAAAAUAUUCCAUGUGCUGAUUGUACCUCUGCAACCUAGUUUCUGGAUAGCUCUGCUUUUGCAGUGAUCUAUUCUCCUGAGAGUCAUGGGUUUGCCACAUCACUUUGACAGCAAUUUGGGAAUGUGCGUUGGGUUGUAUUAGAGGCACUUAUCUCAUAGUAGAAAUAGCAAAAAAGUAAACAAUGUACAUGAAAACUAGGAUAUGGGUUUGCUAAUGUUAAGGACAAAAGGACAGGUGAAUUGCAGAAUGCAGUGGACAGCAGAAAAAGGUUUGGAGGAAAUAAGAGGGAUAGAUAUUCUAUAGGCUUACUGACAUUUUUUUUUUUUUUCCACUCUAUGAGUCCUGUAAGGCACUGGCAAUAUAGGAAAGCAAGACAAGCUGACAAAAAGAUUGGUCUGAGAGGCUGAGAAAUGGCUGUGAAGCUGGUUUUGCAUGCAGGUGAUCACAACUACUAUCAUCUUUCAAGGAAAACAUGUUUUUCACAAAAAUAUUGUCAAAUCUGCAGCUCUCGUUGUGCAUCUCUGUCUUCUUAUAGCUCUUAUCACUCCAAGAUUUGAAUAUCCUAGUGCAUAAAAGAUUGUAUAUAAUGUCUUCUUCCUGUCUAGCUUUCCUCCAUGCUGUGCCCAUCACUUUGUACUUAGUACAGAUGAAAUGCUGAAGUGUUGCAACUUUUCUGUGAGAGGAACAGCCACUAGAGGGGAGGAUGUACACUGUGAAGUCCCCAUCAGUACCCUGUCACUGAGCUUCCUCAGUAAGUAAUAAAUAAAUAAAUCAGAAUUUUAAGAUCAUUUGUAGGCUGUCCUGGUAUAUCCUUUUGGGUAAAAUAUAUUGAAUGAGGUUUUUUUUAGUAUUGCAGUUUCAGUGUUUAUCUUGAAACACAGCCAAAACUAAGGACCAGGAAAAAAAAAUCAUUGGCUAAAUUACACAGAGAAGAUUGGAUUACCUGUUCAAACACAGCUCUUAAUUCUAGAUUUAAAUAGAAUCUCCAAAUACAACAGAACUGUUGCAGAAAAUAAAGCUAGCCCCUAAUAACCCCUAAUUAUUAGGAGUUUCAGUUAAAAUUUGGACAGUGUUGGUUUUAAUUCUUUUAAAUCAGAAGAGGCAGCAUGGUCACAGUAUCCCCAUUUACAAUUACAGUGAGCACACAUGCUGUUCCAACACAUGCUGGCUUUAGCUGAGUGUUCUCUGGCAAGUUGGGUUGGGAUUUUGCCCUGUUAAAAUACAAUUACCCAUUCGAAUAGCAAAUAAUUUUCAAUUUGAGUUAUUUCUUUGUAACAAUGCACUUGUUUUGAAAGAAGCGUCUGACAAAAAAAACAGGUCAAGCUCCUGACACUUGCAUCUUUGCUUGCUUAGGAAUUGUUUGCACCUGAAAGAAAACCUGCUGAUAUCCUAUCUGAGCAACUUUCAUGGCAUCAGUAAAUACCAAAGAGAUUUGCCUCUGAAGAAGAUGCUCUCUCAAGGUAAGACUGAAAUCCAAAGUUAGUUUAAAAUAGGAAAGAAAGAAAUGCUUGGCAGCACUAUGGGUAUAUGGACAAUUACGGCUAUAUAAACCAGCAUGUUUAAUGAUUUUCCAACCCCUACAAUUCUGUGAUUCUGUGAUUCUGUAACUAUCUUUUACAUUGAGCUAAUAUUUUUCUCACUUUUAACUUCAUCCAAGGUAAUGUAUAAAUGGGAGAUUAGAAAUCAAAGACUGUAUUGCAGGCACCCAAUGAAAAGCAGCAGAUGACAUUACUGGCACUGUCUUAAUAAAUUUGUUCUUCAGAAGGUACAGAACCCAAUGUUCAUGCAGCCCAAUGAUCCUUCAAGGUCAACAGUUUUAUAUUUGUCUACUGCUGCCGUUCCCAGUUUGGUUAAGAUCAUCUAACAGUUUCCCUGUUAUCCUCCUGUUUACAGCUACCUGUAAAGAUAAAAAAAUCUUAUUUCUGAGAUUGAGAUUUGCCAAAAUUGUAACUGGAAAAUGUGAAUUUUUAUUUAAACAUCUUAUCACAGUCUUUGCAAACAUUUUAAAAUACAUCAAUUUUCUGGGAAAACACCAAUAUUAUUUUGUUAGUCUCUGGGCAGAAGAUCUGAAAGUAGAAAAUCAGAACUAUUUUUCUAUAGGAAGCAGGGCAUGAUUAAAUUUGGGAACCAAGCUGGUUUAAUUGGGCCAAAUAAAAUUACAGAAUGUUUGGAUAUGAAUCUACACAACUGUCUACCUGGCAGUUAUUCUUGGGUGCACACCUCAGAAAGCUUAUGCACUCCUUAGCUGUUCACAUUACUGGCUGGGUUUUACCCUCUGUGCCUGUUUUCUCCUACAAGAAGAAGUAAUCACAGGAGAAUUCCCUAGGCCCAGUGCUGUUCCCCACUGGCACCUGAAACGGCCUGCCUGUGCCAUUCUGUCUUUUCUCUGCUGUGCAAAACCUGUGCUGGCAAGCACAGUGCAGCAAAUCUGCAGUCAUUCUUAUUCCAUAGGGAGUGGGCUGACAGAUCGCUGCUGCUGGGUGGGACCCCAACAGCUUAUUUGUUCCUGCUGUGUGCUCUCACCUGACUCAACCUGCUCUUUGAGAUACCUUAAUUGCUUGCUGUGGAAGCUGAAGGUGACACCAUAAGCAAAUCACCAUAAAUACAUACAAAUCUCUCUUACAACUGCAAAUCAAACAGUUGUAGUAGUGCACAGUAUAGAUCAACAAGAGGUCUUUUGCUAUAAAUCUCAUUUUCAUACAUCUUCAGACUUUGUGCAAAAUCCCAGCAGAUGCUAGGGGAGAGGGGUAUCUGAAGUUUAUAAGGGCAAAGAUGAAUCCCUGAAUUGCCUUUUUGCUGUUCAACUAAUAUAGCAGAGAGCAAACUGCAUUUUCAGAACUGUGAACAAACCACAUUUCAUAUAAGUUAUCUGGUUACAGGCCAGACCUUGUAUUUAUAACUCAAAAAGGAUUAAAUCAAAAGGCAAGUAGUCCAUGAAAAGGUGGUUUUAUACACAGCCAGCUAAACUCUUGAUAAAUUGUUCUCUUGAAGGAAAAAAGGCUUCUAAUAGAUUUUUCUGUAUUUGUUUUCAGAAGCUUAUAGUUUCUCCCCUUAGAGGUUUUCUUUAUAAGGGAAGCUAGUUAAAUGUCCAGUGAGACUGAGUUUCCAAGGGUGAUUUCCCUAAAACAGGAUUAGGGCUUACUGACAAUGUAAUGCAGGGCAGGUAAUGCUGCUGUUGCUCAUGGUUUUAACUGCUUUAUGGCUAAAUCAUAUUUCAGUUUCUAAAGGCAUCAAUUCAGUACCUCUGAGCUUUUAACUUCCUUCUGUAAGGUAAAAAAACAAACAAAAAGGUUUUUUGGUCUUCCCGUAUUUUUCUGGACUAAAACAAGCAACUUUCUCAUUGCCUGAGCAGGACAGUAACCAGUCCUGAAAUGGAUCAUCAGAAAUUUAUGAGAAUUACUGAACUAUUUUUUUUCCUCCAGAUUACUUCCAAGUUGGUGUUUUUCCUCACAACCAGGUGAAGCAUUAGGGGAGUUUUGCAGACUGACAAUCCAUUCUGAAUCUGUAAACCAGACCAGCCAACCAGUCACAUAACCAGCUCAGGGCUAGUUACCACAAGGUGGAUGGUUCACACAUUUUCUCCUUACCCACAGAAAUGUUUCUGAAAACAAAGACAAAAAAAAAAAGGGCCCUACAUGAGAAAUACCAUCUCUUAGUGUUAGACUGUGUUUCAGUCUAACACCAAACAACAAAUACUAUAGUUUGUCAACGAAUUAAUAUUGUUGCCAUUGUAUCUGAACAACAAUUGUCCUGUUGUAUCUUAGUGACAUUGAUUAACAAAGCAAUUUGUAAUUUGAUGGAGUCGUGUAAUUCUCAUCCCUCUGUAAACAUCUGGAUUUGCAAAUCUGCACUCCUAGCUUGGGAGCUCUUUGCCACACAUCACUAAUUAAGGCAUGUUCUUAUAUAUCAGUACAUACAUCCUCCUGCUGAGCAUCUUUUCUCUGUUCCCAGUACAAAUAACAGCCUGUUGUCAAUGCAGAGAAAACCAUCAUAACAGCCUAGCUCAGCAUGUGACAUUUAAUGAAAAUGAAGUAAUAUCUCAUUUGCAUGGCUGGCAUUACUUUAUUAAAGCCAGAGCUGCAGAAGCUGGGCGCUACAGCGCAAGUCAAGUGUGCAAGGCUGAUAGUCCAUAGGAAUGAUGGUGUCCAGCACAGGCAGGUUUGCACUUCCCCCUGCCUGUCUGCCCAUCUCCUGUUUGUAGGUAUGGCUUCUAGGAAAUCGACAGAUCUGUUCCUUUUCCCAGCUCCUGCAGUUCUUGUUCUCUGUUACUUCCAUCCCUCUGAGCCCACGGAGCUGGGAACCAGAGCCCCCCUUGCUUCUGCCACAGCAGUCCCCCGGAAUCAUCAUGGGCGAACUCCAGCUGAGGAGGGAACCCAUCAGAACACCCAUCAGAACUACAGAAAGCAGCGCACAAGAAAUGAGUCUGUUGUGCAGAGGAAGUGCCUUAAAAGAGGAACAUACACAUAUUUUUCAUAACGUCAGAAGAGUGCAGCUAAGCACUCAGAACUUUUUACAAAGUUGCGCUCCUUCAGUUUGCGUUUCCCUCUGCUAUUUCACCAGCAUUGAUAAGGAAGCAAAAUUCUUAUUGUGGCUGAUUCUGAUUUGCUUUAGCCCUUAGACAUAUUUAUAAAUAACGAUUUGAUUUGAAGAAAGUUUCUGUUUCUGACCUUG
Molecule: long non-coding RNA, 7703 nt
Organism: Tympanuchus pallidicinctus (lesser prairie-chicken)
Lineage: Eukaryota; Metazoa; Chordata; Aves; Galliformes; Phasianidae
Exons: 4
Source: RefSeq, a predicted model, not a curated record